GGACUACCGGGGUUUCUAAUCCUGUUUGCUCCCCACGCUUUCGCGCCUCAGCGUCAGUUACGAGCCAGAAAGCCGCCUUCGCCUCCGGUGUUCCUCCUAAUAUCUACGAAUUUCACCUCUACACUAGGAAUUCCGCUUCCCUCUCUCGUCCUCUAGGUAUACCGUUUCAUGCGCUGUUCCCAGGUUAAGCCCGGGGCUUUCACGCUUGACUAAUAUUCCCGCCUACGCGCCCUUUACGCCCAGUCAUUCCGAACAACGCUAGCACCCUCUGUCUUACCGCGGCUGCUGGCAC
Molecule: ribosomal RNA, 292 nt
Filed under: uncultured bacterium
Lineage: Bacteria
Description: partial 16S ribosomal RNA
Source: RNAcentral